UCCUACGGGAGGCAGCAGUGGGGAAUAUUGCACAAUGGGCGAAAGCCUGAUGCAGCAACGCCGCGUGAGUGAUGAAGGCCUUCGGGUUGUAAAGCUCUGUCUUUGGGGACGAUAAUGACGGUACCCAAGGAGGAAGCCACGGCUAACUACGUGCCAGCAGCCGCGGUAAUACGUAGGUGGCAAGCGUUGUCCGGAUUUACUGGGCGUAAAGGAUGCGUAGGUGGAUAUUUAAGUGGGAUGUGAAAUACCCGGGCUCAACUCGGGUGCUGCAUUCCAAACUGGAUAUCUAGAGUGCAGGAGAGGUAAGUGGAAUUCCUAGUGUAGCGGUGAAAUGCGUAGAGAUUAGGAAGAACACCAGUGGCGAAGGCGACUUACUGGACUGUAACUGACACUGAGGCAUGAAAGCGUGGGGAGCAAACAGGAUUAGAUACCCUGGUAGUCCACGCCGUAAACGAUGGGUACUAGGUGUGGGAGGUAUCGACCCCUUCCGUGCCGCCGUUAACACAAUAAGUACCCCGCCUGGGGAGUACGGUCGCAAGAUUAAAACUCAAAGGAAUUGACGGGGGCCCGCACAAGCAGCGGAGCAUGUGGUUUAAUUCGAAGCAACGCGAAGAACCUUACCUAGACUUGACAUCUCCUGAAUUACUUGUAAUAAGGGAAGCCCUUCGGGGCAGGGAGACAGGUGGUGCAUGGUUGUCGUCAGCUCGUGUCGUGAGAUGUUGGGUUAAGUCCCGCAACGAGCGCAACCCUUAUCAUUAGUUGCUACCAUUAAGUUGAGCACUCUAGUGAGACUGCCCGGGUUAACCGGGAGGAAGGUGGGGAUGACGUCAAAUCAUCAUGCCCCUUAUGUCUAGGGCUACACACGUGCUACAAUGGUAGGUACAACAAGACGCAAGACCGCGAGGUGGAGCAAAACUGUAAAACCUAUCCCAGUUCGGAUUGUAGGCUGAAACUCGCCUACAUGAAGCCGGAGUUGCUAGUAAUCGCGAAUCAGCAUGUCGCGGUGAAUACGUUCCCGGGCCUUGUACACACCGAU
Molecule: ribosomal RNA, 1036 nt
Filed under: uncultured Clostridium sp.
Lineage: Bacteria; Bacillati; Bacillota; Clostridia; Eubacteriales; Clostridiaceae
Description: bacterial SSU rRNA
Rfam family: Bacterial small subunit ribosomal RNA
Source: RNAcentral